CCAACGGCUCUUUUAGGAGCCACCACAUGCAAAAAACUCAACGGCU
Non-coding RNA from Nematostella vectensis (starlet sea anemone), 46 nucleotides. NCBI's taxonomy places the organism in Eukaryota, Metazoa, Cnidaria, Anthozoa, Actiniaria, Edwardsiidae. The record is from Rfam.